Non-coding RNA from Hirsutella rhossiliensis, 127 nucleotides. Lineage: Eukaryota; Fungi; Ascomycota; Sordariomycetes; Hypocreales; Ophiocordycipitaceae. The record is from the annotation of a RefSeq genome assembly.
GACACUUUGCCAGAGUGGUUAAUGGGUCAGCCUGCUAUCCGUGGAUUUGUGCUAGCAUGACUAAGCCCCAUCUCCAUCAGAGAAGCUGAUGGGUUCGCCCGCGCAGGUUCGAAUCCUGCAGGUGUCG